Molecule: non-coding RNA, 135 nt
Organism: Triticum urartu
Lineage: Eukaryota; Viridiplantae; Streptophyta; Magnoliopsida; Poales; Poaceae
Source: Rfam
UUUGUACUCCCUCCGUUUCAAAUUACUUGUCUUAAAUUUGUCUAGAUACGGAGGUAUCUAGCACUAAAAUAAAUCUAGAUACAUCCGUAUCUAGACAAAUCCAAGACAAGUAAUUCGGAACGGAGGGAGUGACCA